CCAGACUCCUACGGGAGGCAGCAGUGGGGAAUAUUGCACAAUGGGGGAAACCCUGAUGCAGCGACGCCGCGUGGGUGACGAAGUAUUUCGGUAUGUAAAGCCCUAUCAGCAGGGAAGAAGAUGACAGUACCUGACUAAGAAGCCCCGGCUAACUACGUGCCAGCAGCCGCGGUAAUACGUAGGGGGCAAGCGUUAUCCGGAUUUACUGGGUGUAAAGGGAGCGUAGGUGGCAUGGCAAGCCAGAAGUGAAAACCCGGGGCUUAACCCCGCGGAUUGCUUUUGGAACUGUCAGGCUGGAGUGCAGGAGGGGCAGGCGGAAUUCCUGGUGUAGCGGUGAAAUGCGUAGAUAUUAGGAGGAACACCAGUGGCGAAGGCGGCUUACUGGACUGUAACUGACGUUGAGGCUCGAAAGCGUGGGGAGCAAACAGGAUUAGAUACCCCCGUAC
This 446-nucleotide ribosomal RNA is filed under the name uncultured bacterium. Its description in RNAcentral is "bacterial SSU rRNA". It matches the Rfam family "Bacterial small subunit ribosomal RNA", at positions 331 to 793 of the family's 1533-position model. The record is from RNAcentral.